CCAACAAAUUCCGUAGCGCUAUACAAUGGGUGGACUAACAGACAUAUAAUUGAGAUCAGACCACUGACGUACAGGAACAGAGGGGGUUGAGGACCCUGCUCGAUGAGCUUACAUGCUAGAGGGAGUGGGGUAUAUUGACACAAAGGGUUAAAGUAGGGGAAUUAAAUAGUUUGUUACAGAAGGGUUUAUUGAGUGCUUGGUAGGUCAUUUUUGACAGGU
This is a non-coding RNA of Pelobates cultripes (western spadefoot toad), 219 nucleotides long. Lineage: Eukaryota; Metazoa; Chordata; Amphibia; Anura; Pelobatidae. The record is from the annotation of a GenBank genome assembly.